RNAcentral lists this ribosomal RNA (2892 nucleotides) under Pseudomonas rhizophila. RNAcentral's name for it is "23S ribosomal RNA". It matches the Rfam family "Bacterial large subunit ribosomal RNA". Lineage: Bacteria; Pseudomonadati; Pseudomonadota; Gammaproteobacteria; Pseudomonadales; Pseudomonadaceae. The record is from RNAcentral. RNAcentral also lists the same sequence under 1 other name.
GGUCAAGUGAAGAAGCGCAUACGGUGGAUGCCUUGGCAGUCAGAGGCGAUGAAAGACGUGGUAGCCUGCGAAAAGCUUCGGGGAGUCGGCAAACAGACUUUGAUCCGGAGAUGUCUGAAUGGGGGAACCCAGCCAUCAUAAGAUGGUUAUCUUGUACUGAAUACAUAGGUGCAAGAGGCGAACCAGGGGAACUGAAACAUCUAAGUACCCUGAGGAAAAGAAAUCAACCGAGAUUCCCUUAGUAGUGGCGAGCGAACGGGGACUAGCCCUUAAGUGGCUUUGAGAUUAGCGGAACGCUCUGGAAAGUGCGGCCAUAGUGGGUGAUAGCCCUGUACGCGAAAAUCUCUUAGUCAUGAAAUCGAGUAGGACGGAGCACGAGAAACUUUGUCUGAAUAUGGGGGGACCAUCCUCCAAGGCUAAAUACUACUGACUGACCGAUAGUGAACUAGUACCGUGAGGGAAAGGCGAAAAGAACCCCGGAGAGGGGAGUGAAAUAGAUCCUGAAACCGUAUGCGUACAAGCAGUGGGAGCCCACUUUGUUGGGUGACUGCGUACCUUUUGUAUAAUGGGUCAGCGACUUAUUUUCAGUGGCGAGCUUAACCGAAUAGGGGAGGCGUAGCGAAAGCGAGUCUUAAUAGGGCGUCUAGUCGCUGGGAAUAGACCCGAAACCGGGCGAUCUAUCCAUGGGCAGGUUGAAGGUUGGGUAACACUAACUGGAGGACCGAACCGACUACCGUUGAAAAGUUAGCGGAUGACCUGUGGAUCGGAGUGAAAGGCUAAUCAAGCUCGGAGAUAGCUGGUUCUCCUCGAAAGCUAUUUAGGUAGCGCCUCAUGUAUCACUGUAGGGGGUAGAGCACUGUUUCGGCUAGGGGGUCAUCCCGACUUACCAAACCGAUGCAAACUCCGAAUACCUACAAGUGCCGAGCAUGGGAGACACACGGCGGGUGCUAACGUCCGUCGUGAAAAGGGAAACAACCCAGACCGUCAGCUAAGGUCCCAAAGUUAUGGUUAAGUGGGAAACGAUGUGGGAAGGCUUAGACAGCUAGGAGGUUGGCUUAGAAGCAGCCACCCUUUAAAGAAAGCGUAAUAGCUCACUAGUCGAGUCGGCCUGCGCGGAAGAUGUAACGGGGCUCAAACCAUACACCGAAGCUACGGGUAUCACUUAGGUGAUGCGGUAGAGGAGCGUUCUGUAAGCCUGUGAAGGUGAGUUGAGAAGCUUGCUGGAGGUAUCAGAAGUGCGAAUGCUGACAUGAGUAACGACAAUGGGUGUGAAAAACACCCACGCCGAAAGACCAAGGUUUCCUGCGCAACGUUAAUCGACGCAGGGUUAGUCGGUCCCUAAGGCGAGGCUGAAAAGCGUAGUCGAUGGAAAACAGGUUAAUAUUCCUGUACUUCUGGUUAUUGCGAUGGAGGGACGGAGAAGGCUAGGCCAGCUUGGCGUUGGUUGUCCAAGUUUAAGGUGGUAGGCUGGAAUCUUAGGUAAAUCCGGGAUUCUAAGGCCGAGAGCUGAUGACGAGUUACCCUUUGGGUGACGAAGUGGUUGAUGCCAUGCUUCCAAGAAAAGCUUCUAAGCUUCAGGUAACCAGGAACCGUACCCCAAACCGACACAGGUGGUUGGGUAGAGAAUACCAAGGCGCUUGAGAGAACUCGGGUGAAGGAACUAGGCAAAAUGGCACCGUAACUUCGGGAGAAGGUGCGCCGGUGAGGGUGAAGCACUUGCUGCGUAAGCCCACGCCGGUCGAAGAUACCAGGCCGCUGCGACUGUUUAUUAAAAACACAGCACUCUGCAAACACGAAAGUGGACGUAUAGGGUGUGACGCCUGCCCGGUGCCGGAAGGUUAAUUGAUGGGGUUAGCUAACGCGAAGCUCUUGAUCGAAGCCCCGGUAAACGGCGGCCGUAACUAUAACGGUCCUAAGGUAGCGAAAUUCCUUGUCGGGUAAGUUCCGACCUGCACGAAUGGCGUAACGAUGGCGGCGCUGUCUCCACCCGAGACUCAGUGAAAUUGAAAUCGCUGUGAAGAUGCAGUGUAUCCGCGGCUAGACGGAAAGACCCCGUGAACCUUUACUAUAGCUUUGCACUGGACUUUGAAUUUGCUUGUGUAGGAUAGGUGGGAGGCUUUGAAGCGUGGACGCCAGUUCGCGUGGAGCCAUCCUUGAAAUACCACCCUGGCAACUUUGAGGUUCUAACUCAGGUCCGUUAUCCGGAUCGAGGACAGUGUAUGGUGGGUAGUUUGACUGGGGCGGUCUCCUCCUAAAGAGUAACGGAGGAGUACGAAGGUGCGCUCAGACCGGUCGGAAAUCGGUCGUAGAGUAUAAAGGCAAAAGCGCGCUUGACUGCGAGACAGACACGUCGAGCAGGUACGAAAGUAGGUCUUAGUGAUCCGGUGGUUCUGUAUGGAAGGGCCAUCGCUCAACGGAUAAAAGGUACUCCGGGGAUAACAGGCUGAUACCGCCCAAGAGUUCAUAUCGACGGCGGUGUUUGGCACCUCGAUGUCGGCUCAUCACAUCCUGGGGCUGAAGCCGGUCCCAAGGGUAUGGCUGUUCGCCAUUUAAAGUGGUACGCGAGCUGGGUUUAGAACGUCGUGAGACAGUUCGGUCCCUAUCUGCCGUGGACGUUUGAGAUUUGAGAGGGGCUGCUCCUAGUACGAGAGGACCGGAGUGGACGAACCUCUGGUGUUCCGGUUGUCACGCCAGUGGCAUUGCCGGGUAGCUAUGUUCGGAAAAGAUAACCGCUGAAAGCAUCUAAGCGGGAAACUUGCCUCAAGAUGAGAUCUCACUGGGACCUUGAGUCCCCUGAAGGGCCGUCGAAGACUACGACGUUGAUAGGUGGGGUGUGUAAGCGCUGUGAGGCGUUGAGCUAACCCAUACUAAUUGCCCGUGAGGCUUGACCAU